RNAcentral lists this non-coding RNA (24 nucleotides) under Arabidopsis thaliana (thale cress). The record is from RNAcentral. Lineage: Eukaryota; Viridiplantae; Streptophyta; Magnoliopsida; Brassicales; Brassicaceae.
CGGUGCAUUAGUGCUGGUAUGAUC